GACGAACGCUGGCGGCGUGCUUAACACAUGCAAGUCGAACGGAAAGGCCCUGCUUUUGUGGGGUGCUCGAGUGGCGGACGGGUGAGUAACACGUGAGUAACCUGCCCUUGACUUUGGGAUAACUUCAGGAAACUGGGGCUAAUACCGGAUAGGAGCUCCUGCUGCAUGGUGGGGGUUGGAAAGUUUCGGCGGUUGGGGAUGGACUCGCGGCUUAUCAGCUUGUUGGUGGGGUAGUGGCUUACCAAGGCUUUGACGGGUAGCCGGCCUGAGAGGGUGACCGGCCACAUUGGGACUGAGAUACGGCCCAGACUCCUACGGGAGGCAGCAGUGGGGAAUAUUGCACAAUGGGCGGAAGCCUGAUGCAGCAACGCCGCGUGCGGGAUGACGGCCUUCGGGUUGUAAGCCGCUUUCGCCUGUGACGAAGCGUGAGUGACGGUAAUGGGUAAAGAAGCACCGGCUAACUACGU
This 467-nucleotide ribosomal RNA is filed under the name uncultured bacterium. RNAcentral describes it as "partial 16S ribosomal RNA". It matches the Rfam family "Bacterial small subunit ribosomal RNA", at positions 28 to 506 of the family's 1533-position model. The record is from RNAcentral.